UGGGGGAUAUUGCACAAUGGGCGAAAGCCUGAUGCAGCGACGCCGCGUGGGGGAUGAAGGCCUUCGGGUUGUAAACUUCUUUUGCUCUGAACAAGGCGCACCAUGGGGUGUGUUGAGUGUAGGGGUUGAUUAGCGCCGGCUAACUACGUGCCAGCAGCCGCGGUAAUACGUAGGGCGCGAGCGUUGUCCGGAAUUAUUGGGCGUAAAGGGCUUGUAGGUGGCUGGUUGCGUCUGUCGUGAAAGCUCAUGGCUUAACUGUGGGUUUGCGGUGGGUACUGGCUGGCUUGAGUGCAGUAGGGGAGGCUGGAAUUCCUGGUGUAGCGGUGGAAUGCGCAGAUAUCAGGAGGAAUACCGGUGGCGAAGGUGGGUCUCUGGGCUGUUACUGACACUGAGGAGCGAAAGCAUGGGGAGCGAACAGG
This 419-nucleotide ribosomal RNA is filed under the name bacterium. Its description in RNAcentral is "partial 16S ribosomal RNA". It matches the Rfam family "Bacterial small subunit ribosomal RNA", at positions 355 to 776 of the family's 1533-position model. The record is from RNAcentral.